This 28-nucleotide non-coding RNA is filed under the name Mus musculus (house mouse). Lineage: Eukaryota; Metazoa; Chordata; Mammalia; Rodentia; Muridae. The record is from RNAcentral.
UACAAUGUAAGUUCUGAGGGUGAUAAUC